CCAAUAGCGUAUAUUAAAGUUGUUGCAGUUAAAAAGCUCGUAGUUGAAUUUCGGGACCAAUAUGUUGGUCGUGCUUCGGUACGUACUUGCAUUAUUGGUUUCUCCCUUCUGAAGAACCAUGAUGUCAUUAAUUUGGUGUCUUGGGGAAUCAGGACUGUUACUUUGAAAAAAUUAGAGUGUUUAAAGCAGGCUCACGCUUGAAUACAUUAGCAUGGAAUAAUGAAAUAGGACGUUUGAUUCUAUUUUGUUGGUUUCUAGGAUCGACGUAAUGAUUAAUAGGGUUAGUUGGGGGCAUUAGUAUUCAAUUGUCAGAGGUGAAAUUCUUGGAUUUAUUGAAGACUAACUACUGCGAAAGCAUUUGCCAAGGGUGUUUUCAUUAAUCAAGAACGAAAGUUAGGGGAUCGAAGACGAUCAGAUACCGUCGUAGUCUUAACCAUAAACUAUGCCGACUAGGGAUCGGAUGAUGUUAUUUUUGAUGACUCAUUCGGCGCCUUACG
RNAcentral lists this ribosomal RNA (497 nucleotides) under uncultured Glomeromycotina. RNAcentral describes it as "partial small subunit ribosomal RNA". It matches the Rfam family "Eukaryotic small subunit ribosomal RNA", at positions 591 to 1092 of the family's 1831-position model. The record is from RNAcentral. Lineage: Eukaryota; Fungi; Glomeromycota.